AUGCUUGUUUCAGUAGCAUGUACACUAAAAUUAGAAUAAUACGAAGAUUCGCAUGUCACCUGUGCAAGAAUGAUAUCCAAAUUCAUGGUCUUCCAUAUUUUU
Trichosurus vulpecula (common brushtail) is the source of this 102-nucleotide small nuclear RNA. Lineage: Eukaryota; Metazoa; Chordata; Mammalia; Diprotodontia; Phalangeridae. The record is from RefSeq and is a predicted model, not a curated record.